UUAACUAACGUUUGUAUGGAGUUGAAACGUUUGCCUACGUUUGCCGCUAGGGACGCUGUUUCAACUGCAUACGAAUUUGAGUUA
This 84-nucleotide microRNA precursor is filed under the name Bombyx mori (domestic silkworm). RNAcentral describes it as "mir-2807 microRNA precursor family". It matches the Rfam family "mir-2807 microRNA precursor family". Lineage: Eukaryota; Metazoa; Arthropoda; Insecta; Lepidoptera; Bombycidae. The record is from Rfam by way of RNAcentral.